AAAGUGUCCAACAUACAGUUGGUGUAAAAUUUUAAAAAAUGAUUCCCAUUUAUCCCUUGCUUUAGCUAAUGCUGAUUCCUUCAUGCGGUAUGCCUUUGCCUUCUUCCAUGUACCUGUCGGAUUUCCACCCGCCUCUCAAGGACUAGGUACUUCCUUCCCUUUUCAGCUGCUGGGCCCAAGUCCUUGAAGUUAUUUUUCCCUCUGAACCUUGUUUCUCUAUUACAGCAGGUGCUGUGGUCUGCCUUGUAUCAGGAUCGUUGGUACAUGUUUGUCUGGCCUGCAUACAAUCAGGAGCCUCUGGGGGCAGCGAUAUUGAACUCACCUUUGCAUCCCUCUAGAGUACCUUUGGAGAGACUUGCAUAUAACAGUUCCUCAGUGACAGCUAAAUUUAAAAGAAUUGCUUGCUAUGGCCCCAGGACUCCUGGAAGAUGAUAUGUGGCAAUAACUGUCACCCAGAGCCACCAAAGCACUUCACCUGCCCUGCCUUGUAGCCUGCCCUGCCUUGUAGUGCUUCUGCCGGGUGUCACUGCUAUUUGUAUGUUAAUUAGACUGGGGGUUCCCCGAGAGUGGCUUGUAUCUCCGUGACCCCUGUGUCUCCGCCGGGGCCCUGCACAGUGUCUGCUACACCGGAGCAGCAAAAUAAAUGGGGCUGGUUGAAGGAGUAAGCUAAGGCCAGCUAACUGCUCUCAAGCGCCUUUAAUUAUGGUCUUUGGUGCCCUCUUACCGCUUCAUCUUAUUUAUCACUCUUUUCCUGAGACCUUCUAAGAUAGAAUGCAGACACAAACGUGCGCAUGCACACACACGCACGCUGGCUUAAUAUAUGCACAGUGGAAGCUGAAUACAUCUCGCUGGGACACUUCCACACUUGUUAAGACAGUUCCCAAAACACAUUAAAAAAUGAUGGAUUGUGCCGUCCCGGCUCCUUGUUCGUUUUAGCACGAUAGAAUUUCUUGAUAGUGUCUGAUUUCAGAGCACACCUGUAGACCUAGUGACAGCCUGCGCUCCUGGGUGGGUUUGGAAAAGCGCUUAUUUGUUCUGAAGCUAAAAUUAAACUGCAAGUUUUUACAUGUUGUUUAGCGGCAGCAGCUGAUGCAAAUCUUUGUCAACACGGAACUUUUCACACCUCAGGUUUCAACUACAGUAAGUGGAUUACUAUGUAAGACUGGCAUUGGGUUUUUGGCACUGAGAAUGAAUGAACUAGCUUGGAGAAAUUAAAAGUCAUGCUCUUUAUCUUCCUUUGAGUUACAAUCUUUUAAUUUUAAGAAUUUUCAGAAUUUGGGCCACUUUUGUUCUUUCGUAGCACUUUUGAGUUUCCUCGUUCCAGCCAGGAUGCCUGGACGGAAAAGGGAAGCGCCAAGCGCUUGUGUUGGUGAGGUGAUCGUCUUUCCUGGAGAGGGAAGUGGCCUUGUCUGGAGUCUGAAACGCUAAUCUCGCCACGCUCUGGUUUGCCGUGCUG
RNAcentral lists this long non-coding RNA (1456 nucleotides) under Pan troglodytes (chimpanzee). RNAcentral's name for it is "lncRNA (ENSPTRG00000052942.1)". The record is from RNAcentral. Lineage: Eukaryota; Metazoa; Chordata; Mammalia; Primates; Hominidae.